RNAcentral lists this long non-coding RNA (454 nucleotides) under Setaria italica (foxtail millet). Its description in RNAcentral is "long non-coding RNA (SITA_LNC005926)". The record is from RNAcentral. Lineage: Eukaryota; Viridiplantae; Streptophyta; Magnoliopsida; Poales; Poaceae.
GCAUCGAGCUCAUCGCCUCUGAGAACUUCACCUCCUUCGCCGUCAUGGAGGCGCUCGGCUCCGCGCUCACCAACAAGUACUCCGAGGGCAUGCCCGGCGCCCGCUACUACGGCGGCAACGACGUCAUCGACGAGAUCGAGAACCUCUGCCGCUCCCGCGCGCUCGCCGCCUUCCGCCUCGACCCGGCCUCCUGGGGCGUCAACGUGCAGCCCUACUCGGGCUCCCCCGCCAACUUCGCCGCCUACACUGCCCUGCUCAACCCGCACGACCGGAUCAUGGGCCUCGACCUCCCCUCCGGCGGACACCUCACCCACGGGUACUACACCUCCGGCGGGAAGAAGAUCUCCGCCACCUCGAUCUACUUCGAGAGUCUGCCGUACAAGGUGAGCGCCACCACCGGCUACAUCGACUACGAGAAGCUCGAGGAGAAGGCCCUCGACUUCCGCCCCAAGCU